This 444-nucleotide ribosomal RNA is filed under the name uncultured bacterium. RNAcentral's name for it is "SSU rRNA". It matches the Rfam family "Bacterial small subunit ribosomal RNA", at positions 26 to 518 of the family's 1533-position model. The record is from RNAcentral.
AGAACGAACGCUGGCGGCAUGCCUAACACAUGCAAGUCGAACGAGACCUUCGGGUCUAGUGGCGCACGGGUGCGUAACGCGUGGGAAUCUGCCCCUUGGUUCGGAAUAACAGUUAGAAAUGACUGCUAAUACCGGAUGACGACGUAAGUCCAAAGAUUUAUCGCCGAGGGAUGAGCCCGCGUAGGAUUAGCUAGUUGGUGAGGUAAUGGCUCACCAAGGCGACGAUCCUUAGCUGGUCUGAGAGGAUGAUCAGCCACACUGGGACUGAGACACGGCCCAGACUCCUACGGGAGGCAGCAGUGGGGAAUAUUGGACAAUGGGCGAAAGCCUGAUCCAGCAAUGCCGCGUGAGUGAUGAAGGCCUAGGGUUGUAAAGCUCUUUACCAGGGAUGAUAAUGACAGUACCUGGAGAAUAAGCUCCGGCUAACUCCGCGCCAGCAGCCGC